This is a long non-coding RNA of Spinacia oleracea (spinach), 1096 nucleotides long. RefSeq lists it as uncharacterized. Lineage: Eukaryota; Viridiplantae; Streptophyta; Magnoliopsida; Caryophyllales; Amaranthaceae. The record is from RefSeq and is a predicted model, not a curated record. The transcript is spliced from 2 exons.
UGCAAUUAUGUGUAAUUAAACACAAACGUUACAUUCUUGUUACAAAGGCCUAUAAAAUGGCUUAGUUUUGUCAGUUUACAUAUACGAUUUCUAAGCAAUAAACCAUACUAUUAUUCCAUGCUAUUGCAACUUGCUCUCGUUACUCUAAAUUAUCUAGCUCGAUCGAUUGUUAACUAGAGGAAAAAUCCUUAUAAGUGGCUCAUCAAAAGUUGCCCUUAUCAAACAAGUGCAACCUUUAAAAAAUAAAAAAAAAAAAAAAAAAAAAUAAUUCUGAAAUAUUUUCCCUCCUAAACGUGAAGCGCAACUUUUUCCCUAACAUUUUGGCCCCCUUCAUUCUUUUCUCUCUCGCAGUACACUCCGGCCAGCAUUUUUAACUCCGGCCAGCAUUUUUCACUCUGCCCUAACAUACACGUACCGCUUCACGUAAUUCUCCUCCAGAAUUCAUCACCGGCCAACAUCACCACCGGCCAGCAUCAACACCGGCUUCUCAGUCACUCUUCGUCGGCCGUUCUUCGCAGUCAAUCUUCGCCGGCCGUUCGUCGCAGCAGCAGCCCGAGUCUAGCUGUGUCCUCCUCAGCGUCAUCUUCACCGGCGACGAGGUCACUGCGGCUCCAGUUGUAGUCGUUCAAUCUGGAAAGUUCCGAUGAGUACUUUGAUUCUGCUGAAAUUAUAUAAAUUUCGUUUUUUUUUUCGACUUUUUGUUGAUUUCUGCUAAAUUGGUUGAUUCUUUUGUUGUUUUUAGGAAAGAGAGGCGCAGAAGAUUCAAUUGAGAAGGCUAUGAGCGCGAAGAAGCAGUAGAUAUUAAAGAAUGAGGAUGUGAUAGCUCAGCAGAAGGCGGUGAAGAAGAAGAAGCCUAAGAAGAAAGUAGCAGCAGUGACUCUGAUGAAGAUGAUACGGAGUAUUGAUUUAGACUCUGAGGAAGAGCUAAGGUCAAGUUACUCUUUUAUUUUAUUUUAAUGUAUAUUUGAACUUUUAGUAUUCCCUUGUUAUAAGAUCGUAUGAUAAUUGAUAAGUAAUUAAGUUGGAUUGUAGCAGUACUGUAGUCGCAAAUUAAGAAAAUUUCAAUUUCAAUUCCAACUGUUAAUUUGUGGAUUUA